This 1633-nucleotide unclassified non-coding RNA is filed under the name Hevea brasiliensis (rubber tree). The record is from RNAcentral. Lineage: Eukaryota; Viridiplantae; Streptophyta; Magnoliopsida; Malpighiales; Euphorbiaceae.
GGAAAGCGGUCUCAUUCUCAGUCAGAUUAUGGUGAAAACGGGGGAAAUAAAAGGAGAAAUACUAGAAAUGAUAAGGAUCCUUUCUCUAUUGGCCCUGAUGAUACAGUAUAUCGGUACUUGUGUUCAGUAAAGAAGAUUGGCAGCAUCAUAGGUAAAGGUGGGGAGAUUGUUAAACAAUUAAGGGUGGAUACGAAAUCAAAAAUUAGAAUUGGAGAGACAGUACCUGACUGUGAUGAACGUGUUGUCACCAUCUACAGCUCAAGUGAAGAAACAAACGAGUUUGAUGGCACUGAAGUUCGUGUUUGUCCAGCUCAGGAUGCCCUUUUCAGAGUAUAUGAUAAAAUUAUCAGUGAUGACACUACUGAUGAGAACUCUGAGGAAGCAUCACAGGUUACUGUUAAGCUUUUAGUACCUUCAGAUCAGAUUGGAUGUAUUAUUGGGAAAGGGGGACAGAUAGUUCAGGACAUUCGAAGUGAAACUGGUGCUCAGAUUCGUAUUUUGAAAGAUAAGCAUUUGCCUGCAUGUGCAUUGAGCUCAGACGAACUUGUGCAGAUAUCUGGUGAAGUUGCUGUAGUGAGGAAGGCUCUCUUUGAAGUUGCAACUCGUCUUCACAAUAAUCCAUCCCGUACCCAACACAUUCUAGCCUCCGAUGCACCAACUAUCUACUCCUCGCGCAGCUCACUUAUUGGUUCUGCUGGUGGUGCUCCAAUAGUGGGAAUAGCUCCUUUAGUGGGGCCAUAUGGGGGUUACAAAGGGGAGAGCAGUGAUUGGUCAAGGUCUUUCUACUCUGCUCCAAGGGAUGAAUCAUCUUCAAAGGAAUUUUCUCUUCGUUUAGUGUGUCCUGCUGCAAAUAUCGGAGGUGUUAUUGGCAAAGGUGGAGUCAUAAUAAACCAAAUUAGACAAGAGUCUGGUGCAGUGAUCAAGGUUAAUAGUUCUAAUGCUGAAGGUGACAAUUGUGUGAUUUCUAUUUCUGCAAAAGAGUUUUUUGAGGACACAUAUUCUCCCACAAUUGAAGCAGCACUGCGCUUGCAACCAAGGUGCCGUGAGGAAGUGGAACGGGAUUCAGGUCUUAUAUCAGUCACCACAAGGUUGCUGGUUCCAGCAUCUCGAAUCGGCUGUCUUAUUGGGAAAGGAGGAUCCAUAAUUAAUGAGAUGAGGAAAAUCACAAAAGCUAAUAUUCGCAUUCUCUCGAAGGAAGAUCUUCCAAAGGUUGCAUCUAAUGAUGACGAGAUGGUACAGAUAUCAGGAGAUCCAGAUGCUUCAAAGGAUGCACUCAUGCAAGUAACAUCACGUUUAAGGGCUAAUCUUUUUGAAAAAGAGGGACCCAUGUCUGCCUUUGUGCCAGUUCUCCCCUACCUCCCCAUGUCAACAGAUUCAGAUACCUUGAAAUAUGAACACAGAGAUACUAGGAGACAGGGACGUGAACAUUCCUACUCAGCUGGUUAUGGUGGUACUAGUGACCUUCCACAUGCUGAUGGUUUUGGAAGUUAUGGUACUCUCCAGAGUAGUAGCAGUGUAGGAUAUGGGGCAUAUGAAGGAUAUUCCCCUGCUUAUCCAAAAGAAGGAUAUUCCCAUGGGCGUUCCAGUGGAUCCGGGUCAUCAAGGCAAAACUCUGCCCCCCGGAGAAAAAGUU